This 310-nucleotide unclassified non-coding RNA is filed under the name plant metagenome. RNAcentral describes it as "partial contains 5.8S ribosomal RNA, internal transcribed spacer 2, and large subunit ribosomal RNA". The stretch from base 1 to 105 matches the Rfam family "5.8S ribosomal RNA", at positions 50 to 154 of the family's 154-position model. The record is from RNAcentral.
GAAAUGCGAUAAGUAGUGUGAAUUGCAGAAUUCAGUGAAUCAUCGAAUCUUUGAACGCACAUUGCGCCCCUUGGUAUUCCAUGGGGCAUGCCUGUUCGAGCGUCAUUUGUACCCUCAAGCUCUGCUUGGUGUUGGGUGUUUGUCCCCGUCUCCUCGCGUGGACUCGCCCCAAAGUGAUUGGCAGCCGGCGUACUGGUCCCGGAGCGCAGCACAUGUCGCGCAAACGAGUGCCUUGGUACGGCGGCGUCCAUAAGCCCCUCUCUCACGCUCUUGACCUCGGAUCAGGUAGGGAUACCCGCUGAACUUAAGC